This 598-nucleotide ribosomal RNA is filed under the name uncultured bacterium. RNAcentral's name for it is "bacterial SSU rRNA". It matches the Rfam family "Bacterial small subunit ribosomal RNA", at positions 48 to 644 of the family's 1533-position model. The record is from RNAcentral.
CUUAUCAUGCAGUCGAGGGGCAGCACGGUUAGCAAUAACUGGUGGCGACCGGCGCACGUGUGCGUAACACGUAUACAAUCUACCUUAAACAGGGGGAUAGCCUUUCGAAAGAGAGAUUAAUACCCCGUAAUAAAUUGAACGGCAUCGUUUGAUUUUGAAAGCUCCGGCGGUUUGAGAUGAGUAUGCGUCUGAUUAGCUAGUUGGUGAGGUAACGGCUCACCAAGGCGACGAUCAGUAGGGGAUCUGAGAGGACUAACCCCCACACUGGUACUGAGACACGGACCAGACUCCUACGGGAGGCAGCAGUAAGGAAUAUUGGUCAAUGGGGGCAACCCUGAACCAGCCAUGCCGCGUGCAGGAUGACGGCCCUAUGGGUUGUAAACUGCUUUUAUACCAGAGAAAACCCGAGUACGUGUACUCGGUUGAUAGUAUGGUAAGAAUAAGCAUCGGCUAACUUCGUGCCAGCAGCCGCGGUAAGACGAAGGAUGCAAGCGUUAUCCGGAUUCAUUGGGUUUAAAGGGUGCGUAGGCGGACUUGUAAGUCAGUGGUGAAAUCUCUUUGCUUAACAAAGAAACUGCCAUUGAUACUGCAGGUCUAG